AGCAGCCGCGGUAAUUCCAGCUCCAAUAGCGUAUAUUAAAGUUGUUGCAGUUAAAAAGCUCGUAGUUGAAUUUCGGGAUCAAUAUUUCGGUCAUGCCGUUGGUAUGCACUGUUAUCAUUGAUUUCUCACCUUCUAAAGAACCGUGAUGCCAUUAAUUUGGUGUUACGGGGUAAUUAGGACUGUUACCUUGAAAAAUUAGAGUGUUUAAAGCAGGCUCACGCUUGAAUACAUUAGCAUGGAAUAAUGAAAUAGGACAUCCGAUUCUAUUUUGUUGGUUUCUAGGAUCGAUGUAAUGAUUAAUAGGGGUAGUUGGGGGCAUUAGGUAUUCAAUUGUCAGAGGUGAAAUUCUUGGAUUUAUUGAAUGACUAGACUACUGCGAAAGCAUUAUGCCAAGGAUGUUCUUCAUUAUAUCAAGAACGAAAGUUAGGGGAUCGAAGACGAUCAGAUACCGUCAGUCAGUCUUAACCAUAAACUAUGCCGACUAGGGAUCGGAUGAUGUUAAUUUUUUAAUGACUCA
This 517-nucleotide ribosomal RNA is filed under the name Glomus sp. Glo46. Its description in RNAcentral is "SSU rRNA". It matches the Rfam family "Eukaryotic small subunit ribosomal RNA", at positions 569 to 1078 of the family's 1831-position model. Lineage: Eukaryota; Fungi; Glomeromycota; Glomeromycetes; Glomerales; Glomeraceae. The record is from RNAcentral.